Molecule: long non-coding RNA, 1596 nt
Organism: Hylaeus volcanicus
Lineage: Eukaryota; Metazoa; Arthropoda; Insecta; Hymenoptera; Colletidae
Exons: 5
Source: RefSeq, a predicted model, not a curated record
CAAGAAACUGGCAUUUCCGAACAAGUAACGCCACUAAACGACUAGAACAGCAAUGAUGACUGCGGGUAUUACACGAGCACAUUCUAUAAUGCAACAACAUUUGCCAAAGGUAUAAUUUUGUCAUUGGCACGGACUACUCAGAAGUAUACGCACAUCUACGGUGCUGUUCGCUUAGCAACAGAUUACGAACGUCGAGCACUAAAUAUGCAGGUUGGAGCAUUUAACUGGGAACACCUGAACAUGUAUCUGAAUUCUACACCAAACCAGUCUAUUGUCAUGCUUUAUAAAGCAGCCACUAAUGUGAGAUCAGUAAAUUCGAAUGUACCUACGCUACACGUUUAUAUUCGUCUAGCGGUGAUAAGAAGGUGGACCAGGCAUUGCUGGCACCCGUCAAUUAUGCUCUCUAAGCUUAUUCAAAUGAUAUCGCUUUGAAGAUCAAUCAUGCUUUCAAUUACUGGCUCGAAGUACCACAGAAUAAACUCGACGAGAUCCAAGAUUUGAUAAAGAUACUUUAUAAUGCUACCUUCAUGCUCGAUGAUAUUGCAGAUUCCGGAGCUUUAAGAUUCAAUGUCCCUGCUGCUUAUCAUCUCUAUGAAAUGGCCAUUACGAUCACAUCUGCUUGUAUUGCUAUUAAUAUGGUCUAUGAAAGAAUUCAUACUUUGAACCAUCCAGAGAUGAACUACAAUGGUAUGCAAUGGUAUGGUAACGAUCUGUUCGCUAUUAGACACAAUGGACAACCACAACAAUAGCCAACCGUCAUUGUAGACUUUAUGACGGUGGCCCAUACGGUCGCUUUCGUUGCGGGGAUCACCGUCAUAAAGUCUACAAUGACGGUCAGCUAUGAUUAUGGUUGUCCAUUGUGUCUACUAGCGAGCGGAUCACCCUGUAUAAUCGCUGCAAGGAUCUUGCGAGGUCGGAAAAUCGGUCGGAAGUCGAUCUUUACAACUGAAGCUGACUGCAAUUAGUAAUCUAACACCUUUUUAGACAAGGAUAGAGGUAGACUUUUCGUUCAGGACUCGUUAGGUUUCAUUAGGCUCAGAAACAUGUUUGAAUUCGUCAAAUCUAUUUUAAAAAAUAUCACCUUAUUAUAUAUCAUAUAUAUAAAUAUUACCUAAUUUAUAUUAAAUAGUAAGAUGAAACUUUUUGAUUACUUUUUUUAACAUUUAUUAACUUUUUUAAACAUUUAUUAAUUUUGUUUAACUUUUUUAAACAUUACUGUUUAUUAAUAUUUCUAUGUAAAUGAAUAAUUGUCGGUUAACGAUGAUUUCCAUUUUCACCAUUAAAAAAUAUCGAAGGAAAUUCGCCUUCGAAACAGCCUCCAAUUUUUCUUUAAUGUUCAAAGAAAUUUUUCAAAAACUUAGUGUACAAUUUACACGAUACAUCUAUAAAAUAAACUAUUUUUUAAGAAAACGCCAAACAAGAAAAGCUUUCGAACUUGAAACGUUGUGUGAAUACUGAACAUAUUGUUCUAUACAAAGAAUAAUUUCUUUUUCUUAUCCUUUUUCUUAUAAUUUUAUAAAUAACAUUUAUUCUUAUAUCUGAAGAUCUUAUUAAAAUUAGAAAUAAAAAUAAUAACCUUACAAAUCCGUUGGUUAC